This 186-nucleotide non-coding RNA is filed under the name Pseudomonas sp. 8Z. The record is from RNAcentral. Lineage: Bacteria; Pseudomonadati; Pseudomonadota; Gammaproteobacteria; Pseudomonadales; Pseudomonadaceae.
UUUUAACGCGGCAGGGCCGACGCGCAGCAGAUCGUAGACAGGAUCGAAGAGGGAACACGGUCAAACCGUGGCUGCCCCCGCAACUGUAAGCAGCGAGUCCUAUGCAAUCGGCCACUGGGCAACCGGGAAGGCGCGGCGGACGAAGACCUGUCAGCCAGGAGACCUGCCGACGAACGCUGGUCGCGA